This 5357-nucleotide long non-coding RNA is filed under the name Citrus x clementina. Its description in RNAcentral is "Citrus clementina (C. clementina) long non-coding RNA (CCLE_LNC006051)". Lineage: Eukaryota; Viridiplantae; Streptophyta; Magnoliopsida; Sapindales; Rutaceae. The record is from RNAcentral.
UUUUUGGGGCGCGGUUGUGCCCGUGGCUUAUUUUUGGCACACGGAGGCCGCCCGCCAAGUCUGGGGCCAUUCCGAGUCCCGCGGACGAACUUCGCCCACGCCCCCCACCAAGGCUAUAGCCCACCCGUUUUUUGGCCAUUUUUCCGCUGGGGGGUUCUUGGGACUCCGACCUUCGGGGGCUGAUUUUUGGGCGCGGCUGUGCCCGUGGCCUAUUUUUGGCACACGGAGGCCGCCCGCCAAGUCUGGGGCCAUUCCGAGUCCGGCGGACGAACUUCGCCCACGCCCCCCACAUAGGCUAUAGCCCACCCAUUUUUUGGCCAUUUUUCCGCUGGGGGGUCUUGGGACCCCGACCUUCGGGGGCUGAUUUUUGGGCGCGGCCGUGCCCGUGGUCUAUUUUUGGCACACGGAGGCCGCCCGCCAAGUAUGGUGCCAUUCCGAGUCCCGCGGACGAACUUCGCCCACUCCCGCCACCAAGGCUAUAGCCCACCCGUUUUUUGGCCAUUUUUCCGCUGGGGGGUCUUGGGACCCCGACCUUCGGGGGCUGAUUUUUGGGCGCGGCUGUGCCUGUGUGUCUAUUUUUGGCACACGGAGGCCGCCCGCCAAAUCUGGGGCCAUUCCGAGUCCCGCGGACGAACUUCGCCCACGCCCCCCACCAAGGCUAUAGCCCACCCGUUUUUUGGCCAUUUUUCCGCUGGGGGGUCUUGGGACUCCGACCUUCGGGGGCUGAUUUUUGGGCGCGGCUGUGCCCGUGGCCUAUUUUUGGCACACGGAGGCCGCCCGCCAAGUCUGGGGCCAUUCCAAGUCCGGCGGACGAACUUCGCCCACGCCCCCCACAUAGGAUAUAGCCCACCCGUUUUUUGGCCAUUUUUCCGCAGGGGGGUCUUGGGACCCCGACCUUCGGGGGCUGAUUUUUGGGCGCGGCUGUGCCCGUGGCCUAUUUUUGGCACACGGAGGCCGCCCGCCAAGUCUGGGGCCAUUCCGAGUCCGGCGGACGAACUUCGCCACGCCCCCCACCAAGGCUAUAGCCCACCCGUUUUUUGGCCAUUUUUCCGCUGGGGGGUCUUGGGACCCCGACCUUCGGGGGCUGAUUUUUGGGCGCGGCUGUGCCCGUGGCCUAUUUUUGCCACACGGUGGCCGCCCGCCAUGUCUGGAGCCAUUCUGAGUCCCGCGGACGAACUUCGCCCAUGCCGCCCACCAAGGCUAUAGCCCCCCCGUUUUUUGGCCAUUUUUCCGCUGGGGGGUCUUGGGACCCCGACCUUCGGGGGCUGAUUUUUGGGCGCGGCUGUGCCCGUGGCCCAUUUUUGGCAAACGGAGGCCGCCCGACCCCGACCUUCGGGGGCUGAUUUUUGGGCGCGGCUGUGCCCGUGGCCCAUUUUUGGCACAUGGAGGCCGCCCGCCAUGUCUGGGGCCAUUCCGAGUCCGGCGGACGAACUUCGCCCACGCCCCGCGCCAAGGCUAUAGCCCACCAGUUUUUUGGCCAUUUUUCCGCUGGGGGGUCUUGGGACCCUGACCUUCGGGGGCUGAUUUUUGGGCGCGGCUGUGCCCGUGGCCUAUUUUUGGCACACGGAGGCCGCCCGCCAAGUCUGGGGCCAUUCUGAGUCCCGCGGACGAACUUCGCCCACGCCCCUCACCAAGGCUAUAGCCCACCCUUUUUUUGGCCAUUUUUUCGCUGGGGGGUCUUGGGACCCCGACCUUCGGGGGCUGAUUUUUGUACGCGGCUGUGCCCGUGGUCUAUAUUUGUUCACGAUAGCCGCCCGCCAAGUUUGGGGACAUUCCNNNNNNNNNNNNNNNNNNNNNNNNNNNNNNNNNNNNNNNNNNNNNNNNNNNNNNNNNNNNNNNNNNNNNNNNNNNNNNNNNNNNNNNNNNNNNNNNNNNNCGGCGGACGAACUUCGCCCACGCCCCCCACCAAGGCUAUAGCCCACCCGUUUUUUUACCAUUUUUCCGCUGGGGGACUUGGGACCCCGACCUUCGGGGGCUGAUUUUUGGGGGCGGCUGUGCCCGUGGCCUAUUUUUGGCACAGGGAGGCCGCCCGCCAAGUCUGGGGCCAUUCCGAGUCCUGCGGACGAACUUCGCCCACGACCCCCACCAAGGCUAUAGCCCACACAUUUUUUGGCCAUUUUUCCGCUGGGGGGUCUUGGGACCCCGACCUUCGGGGGCUGAUUUUUGGGCGCGGCUGUGCCCGUGGACUAUUUUUGGAACACGGGGGCCGCCCGCCAAGUCUGGGGCCAUUCUGAGUCCCGCGGACGAACUUCGCCCACGCCCCCCACCAAGGCUAUAGCCCACCCGUUUUUUGGCCAUUUUUCCGCUGGGGGGUCUUGGGACCCCGACCUUCGGGGGCUGAUUUUUGGGCGCGGCUGUGCCCGUGGCCUAUUUUUGGCACACGGAGGCCGCCCGCCAAGUCUGGGGCCAUUCCGAGUCCCGCGGACGAACUUCGCCCACGCCCCCCACCAAGGCUAUAGCCCACCCGUUUUUUGGCCAUUGUUCCGCUGCGGGGUCUUUGGACCCCGACCUUCGGGGGCUGAUUUUUGGGCGCGGCUAUGCCCGUGGCCUAUUUUUGGCACACGGUGGCCGCCCGCCAAGUCUGGGGCCAUUCCGAGUCCGGCGGACGAACUUCGCCCACGCCCCCAACCAAGGCUAUAGCCCACCCGUUUUUUGGCCAAUUUUCCGCUGGGGGGUCUUGGGACCCUGACCUUCGGGGGCUGAUUUUUGGGCGCGGCUUUGCCCGUGGCCUAUUUUUGGCACAGGGAGGCCGCCCGCGAAGUCUGGGGCCAUUCCGAGUCCGGCGGACAAACUUCGCCCACGCCCCCCACCAAGGCUAUAGCCCACCCAUUUUUUGGCCAUUUUUCCGCUGGGGGGUCUUGGGACCCCGACCUUCGGUGGCUGAUUUUGGGCGCGGCUGUGCCCGUGGCCUAUUUUUGGCACACGGAGGCCGCCCUCCAAGUCUGUGCCAUUCCGAGUCCCGCGGACGAACUUCGCCCACGACCCCCACCAAGGCUAUAGCCCACCCGUUUUUUGGCCAUUUUUCCGCUGGGGGGUCUUGGGACCCCGACCUUCGGGGGCUGAUUUUUGGGCGCGGCUGUGCCCGUGGCCUAUUUUUGGCACAGGGAGGCCGCCCGCCAAGUCUGGGGCCAUUCCUAGUCCGGACGACGAAUUUCGCCCGCGCCCCCCACAUAGGCUAUAGGCCAUCCGUUUUUUGGCCAUUUUUCCGCUGGGGGGUCUUGGGACCCCGACCUUCGGGGGCUGAUUUGUGGCGCGGCUGUGCCCGUGGCCUAUUUUUUGCACACGGAGGCCGCCCACCAAGUCUGGUGCCAUUCCGAGUCCGGCCGACGAACUUCGCCCACGCCCCCCACCAAGGCUAUAGCCCACCUGUUUUUUGGCCAUUUUUCCACUGGGGGGUCUUGGGGCCCCGACCUUCGGGGGCUGAUUUUUGGGCGCGGCUGUGCCCGUGGCCUAUUUUUGGCACACGGAGGCCGCCCGCCAAGUCUGGGGCCAUUCCUAGUCCGGACGACGAACUUCGCCCGCGCCCCCCACAUAGGCUAUAGCCCACCCGUUUUUUGGCCAUUUUUCCGCUGGGGGGUCUUGGGACCCCGACCUUCGGGGGCUGAUUUUUGGGCGCGGCUGUGCCCGUGGCCUAUUUUUGGCACACGGAGGCCGCCCGCCAAGUCUGGGGCCAUUCCGAGUCCCGCGGACGAACUUCGCCCACGCCCCCCACCAAGGCUAUAGCCCACCCGUUUUUUAGCCAUUUUUCCGCUGGGGGGUCUUGGGGCCCCGACCUUCGGGGGCUGAUUUUGGGCGCGGCUGUGCCCGUGGCCUAUUUUUGGCACACGGAGGCCGCCCGCCAAGUCUGGUGCCAUUCUGAGUCCCGCGGCCGAACUUCGCCCACGCCCCCCACCAAGGCUAUAGCCCACCCGUUUAUUGGCCAUUUUUCCGCCGGGGGGUCUUGGGACCCCGACCUCCGGGGGCUGAUCUUUGGGCGCGGCUGUGCCCGUGGCCUAUUUUUUGCACACGGAGGCCGCCCGCCAAGUCUGGUGCCAUUCCGAGUCCCGCGGACGAACUUCGCCCACGCCCCCCACCAAGGCUAUAGCCCACCCGUUUUUUGGCCAUUUUUCCGCUGGGGGGUCUUGGGACCCCGACCUUCGGGGGCUGAUUUUUGGGCGCGGCUGUGCCCGUGGCCUAUUUUUGGCACACGGAGGCCGCCCGCCAAGUCUGGGGCCAUUCCAAGUCCCGCGGACCAACUUCGCCCACGCCCCCCACCCAGGCUAUAGCCCACCCGUUUUUUGGCCAUUUUUCCGCUGGGGGGUCUUGGGACCCCGACCUUCGGGGGCUGAUUUUUGGGCGCGGCUGUGCCCGUGGCCUAUUUUUGGCACACGGAGGCCGCCCGCCAAGUCUGGGGCCAUUCCGAGUCCCGCGGACGAACUUCGCCCACGCCCCCCACCAAGGCUAUAGCCCACCCUUUUUUUGGCCAUUUUUCCGCUGGUGGGUCUUGGAACCCCGACCUUCGGGGGCUGAUUUUUGGGCGCGGCUGUGCCCGUGGCCUAAUUUUGGCACACGUAGGCCGCCCGCCAAGUCUGGUGCCAUUCCGAGUCCCGCGGACGAACUUCGCCCACGCCCCCCACCAAGGCUAUAGCCCACCCGUUUUUUGGCCAUUUUUCCGCUGGGGGGUCUUGGGGCCCCGACCUUCGGGGGCUGAUUUGUGGCGCGGCUGUGCCCGUGGCCUAUUUUUGGCACACGGAGGCCGCCCGCGAAGUCUGGUGCCAUUCCGAGUCCGGCCGACGAACUUCGCCCACGCCCCCCACCAAGGCUAUAGCCCACCCGUUUUUUGGCCAAUUUUCCGCUGGGGGGUCUUGGGACCCCGACCUUCGGGGGCUGAUUAUUGGGCGCGGCUGUGCCCAUGGCCUAUUUGUGGCACAGGGAGGCCGCCUGCCAAGUCUGGGGCCAUUCCGAGUCCCGCGGACGAACUUCGCCCACGACCCCCACCAAGGCUAUAGCCCACCCGUUUUUUGGCCAUUUUUCCGCUGGGGGGUCUUGGAACCCCGACCUUCGGGGGCUGAUUUUNNNNNNNNNNNNNNNNNNNNNNNNNNNNNNNNNNNNNNNNNNNNNNNNNNNNNNNNNNNNNNNNNNNNNNNNNNNNNNNNNNNNNNNNNNNNNNNNNNNNCGCCCCCCACAUAGGCUAUAGCCCACCCGUUUUUUGGCCAUUUUUCCCCUGGGGGGUCUUGGGACCCCGACCUUCGGGGGCUGAUUUUUGGGCGCGGCUGUGCCCGUGGCCUAUUUUUGGCACACGGAGGCCGCCCGCCAAGUCUGGGGCCAUUCCGAGUCCGGCGGAGGAACUUCGCCCACGCCCCCCACCAAGGCUAUAG